GACUACGCAUAGGCCAGUCUGCAGGUAACAAUCGCUUGGAUCCAGACUUUGAUUAUGGCUCAGGAUGAACGCUGGCGGCGUGCCUAACACAUGCAAGUCGAACGGACUUACAUUGAAGCCUAGCGAUAUGUAAGUUAGUGGCGGACGGGUGAGUAACGCGUGGGUAACCUGCCUUGUACUGGGGGACAACAGUUGGAAACGACUGCUAAUACCGCAUAAGCGCACAGCUUCGCAUGAAGCAGUGUGAAAAACUCCGGUGGUACAAGAUGGACCCGCGUCUGAUUAGCUGGUUGGUGAGGUAACGGCCCACCAAGGCGACGAUCAGUAGCCGGCCUGAGAGGGUGAACGGCCACAUUGGGACUGAGACACGGCCCAAACUCCUACGGGAGGCAGCAGUGGGGAAUAUUGCACAAUGGGGGAAACCCUGAUGCAGCAACGCCGCGUGAGUGAAGAAGUAUUUCGGUAUGUAAAGCUCUAUCAGCAGGAAAGAAAAUGACGGUACCUGACUAAGAAGCCCCGGCUAACUACGUGCCAGCAGCCGCGGUAAUACGUAGGGGGCAAGCGUUAUCCGGAUUUACUGGGUGUAAAGGGAGCGUAGACGGUUUUGCAAGUCUGAAGUGAAAGCCCGGGGCUUAACCCCGGGACUGCUUUGGAAACUGUAGGACUAGAGUGCAGGAGAGGUAAGUGGAAUUCCUAGUGUAGCGGUGAAAUGCGUAGAUAUUAGGAGGAACACCAGUGGCGAAGGCGGCUUACUGGACUGUAACUGACGUUGAGGCUCGAAAGCGUGGGGAGCAAACAGGAUUAGAUACCCUGGUAGUCCACGCCGUAAACGAUGAUUACUAGGUGUUGGUGGGUAUGACCCAUCGGUGCCGCAGCAAACGCAAUAAGUAAUCCACUGG
This 899-nucleotide ribosomal RNA is filed under the name uncultured bacterium. RNAcentral describes it as "bacterial SSU rRNA". It matches the Rfam family "Bacterial small subunit ribosomal RNA", at positions 1 to 875 of the family's 1533-position model. The record is from RNAcentral.